This 430-nucleotide ribosomal RNA is filed under the name uncultured bacterium. RNAcentral describes it as "bacterial SSU rRNA". It matches the Rfam family "Bacterial small subunit ribosomal RNA", at positions 355 to 776 of the family's 1533-position model. The record is from RNAcentral.
UGAGGAAUAUUGCGCAAUGGGGGCAACCCUGACGCAGCAACGCCGCGUGAGUGAAGAAGGCCUUCGGGUUGUAAAGCUCUGUCAGGCGGGAAGAAACCUAUCCAAGCGAAUAACUUGGAAAGCUGACGGUACCGCCAAAGGAAGCACCGGCUAACUCCGUGCCAGCAGCCGCGGUAAGACGGAGGGUGCAAGCGUUGUUCGGAAUCACUGGGCGUAAAGCGCGUGUAGGCGGUCUAAUAAGUCGAGUGUGAAAGCCCGAGGCUUAACCUCGGAAGUGCAUUCGAAACUGUUAGGCUUGAGUACGGGAGAGGGAAGUGGAAUUCCUGGUGUAGAGGUGAAAUUCGUAGAUAUCAGGAGGAACACCGGUGGCGAAGGCGGCUUCCUGGACCGAUACUGACGCUGAGACGCGAAAGCGUGGGGAGCAAACAGG